CCUACGGGUUGCAGCAGUGGGGAAUAUUGCACAAUGGGCGCAAGCCUGAUGCAGCCAUGCCGCGUGUAUGAAGAAGGCCUUCGGGUUGUAAAGUACUUUCAGCGAGGAGGAAGGCGUUAAGGUUAAUAACCUUGGCGAUUGACGUUACUCGCAGAAGAAGCACCGGCUAACUCCGUGCCAGCAGCCGCGGUAAUACGGAGGGUGCAAGCGUUAAUCGGAAUUACUGGGCGUAACGCGCACGCAGGCGGUCUGUCAAGUCGGAUGUGAAAUCCCCGGGCUCAACCUGGGAACUGCAUCCGAAACUGGCAGGCUAGAGCCUUGUAGAGGGGGGUAGAAUUCCAGGUGUAGCGGUGAAAUGCGUAGAGAUCUGAAGGAAUACCAGUGGCGAAGGCGGCCCCCUGGACAAAGACUGACGCUCAGAUGCGAAAGCGUGGGGAGCAAACAGGAUUAGAUACCCGUGUAGUC
Molecule: ribosomal RNA, 465 nt
Filed under: uncultured bacterium
Lineage: Bacteria
Description: bacterial SSU rRNA
Rfam family: Bacterial small subunit ribosomal RNA
Source: RNAcentral